RNAcentral lists this Y RNA (96 nucleotides) under Prolemur simus (greater bamboo lemur). RNAcentral describes it as "Y RNA (ENSPSMG00000017935.1)". It matches the Rfam family "Y RNA". Rfam says of the family: Y RNAs are components of the Ro ribonucleoprotein particle (Ro RNP), in association with Ro60 and La proteins. The record is from RNAcentral. Lineage: Eukaryota; Metazoa; Chordata; Mammalia; Primates; Lemuridae.
GGCUGGUCCGAUGGUAGUGGGUCGGCAGAACUUACUAACAUUAGUGUCAUUAAAGUUGGUAUACAACCUCCCACUGCUAAAUUUGACUGGCUACAA